Magnolia sinica is the source of this 982-nucleotide long non-coding RNA. RefSeq lists it as uncharacterized. The record is from RefSeq and is a predicted model, not a curated record. The transcript has 4 exons. NCBI's taxonomy places the organism in Eukaryota, Viridiplantae, Streptophyta, Magnoliopsida, Magnoliales, Magnoliaceae.
UAGCUGUCAUUCUGAAAUGUUUUUCAUGCAAUUUGUGUUAUUCUAUUGGGAGAUUUUAGCAUUGAAACUUUGAGGAUUUUCUACAGGGGAGCGGUUUACAGAGAUAGUGAGCAGUCCAUAUUUUAGCAUCUCAAUUCACCUUGUACUGUUUUUUUUUUUUUCCCCUUCAGUUCUAAAUCUCUUUUCUUCAUGAUCUCUAGUAGUAAAUAACUAUUGCAUUCUUUCUUUCAGGUUAACAAACCAAAUCUUCCACUUGCAUCGCAAUUUUCAGGCUUUUUGGAAACAACAGCUUGUCUGAUACAUGACUACCAUCCCAAAAAAGCUAUAAACUUCUUAAUGUGCUUUAGGAAGGGAUGAAUGAGAGUUUUGAUGGCCCACUCUGCAAGAAUUCACAACAGCAUGGCUUCUCAACUGCCAAUUUCAUUUCCUCAGGCGCAUGCUUCAUGAGGAUAUAUAGCUGUUGCCAUCGAUUCCCGCUACCAUGGUGAACAGGCCAGAAAUACAACCACAUACAGAGAUGGUAUGUAAUCAUUUGCAAGUAUCAUGUGUUAGUUGAAUAAGGAGAUUUUCUUUUCAUGCAGUCACAAUCUUUAAAAAAAAAAAUCAGUACUAUGCGGUGUUACUUAUUUUCGUGCUUCCAUUUAAAGCAGCUGGAAAUAAAAAUACAGUUAUUUAGCAAGUAUCAUGUCUUAAUAAAAUAGUCAGUUUCAGUUGUUGAUUGUUUCUGGAAUUUGAAUGCAGGCUCUUGUAUCUUCUUGGAAGAAUGGCGAUACAAUGCCUUACAUAUUUGAUACAGUAAUACUAUGGCCUUUUGUUUUCUAGCGGAUCAUAUGUGCUUCCUUUUAUUUAUUUAUUAUUUUUAUAAAUCAAGUUACAUUCAAUUUUAGCCUUGAACAAUUCUUCCAUGGGAUUUUCAAUGAAUAGGAUUAUAAAAUAUAGAGGCAGAUUGAGCUUGCAAAAAUGUUGUUGGCGGAGGGACAAA